Molecule: ribosomal RNA, 251 nt
Filed under: Pseudoalteromonas sp. SG43-6
Lineage: Bacteria; Pseudomonadati; Pseudomonadota; Gammaproteobacteria; Alteromonadales; Pseudoalteromonadaceae
Description: partial 23S ribosomal RNA
Rfam family: Bacterial large subunit ribosomal RNA
Source: RNAcentral
CCAGACAGCCAGGAGGUUGGCUUAGAAGCAGCCAUCCUUUAAAGAAAGCGUAAUAGCUCACUGGUCGAGUCGGUCUGCGCGGAAGAUGUAACGGGGCUAAACUAUGCACCGAAGCUGCGGAUUCAAAAUUUAUUUUGAGUGGUAGGGGAGCGUUCUGUAAGCGGUUGAAGGUGUACCGGGAGGUAUGCUGGACGUAUCAGAAGUGCGAAUGCUGACAUGAGUAACGAUAAUGCGGGUGAAAAACCCGCACG